UUGAUCCUGCCGGACCCUACUGCUAUCGGGAUGGGACUAAGACAUGCUAGUUGUGCGUCUCCUAGCCAUGUUGGAGGCGCAGCGCACAGCUCAGUAGCACGUGGUUAACUUGCCCUUGGGACGGAAACACCCCCGGGAAACUGGGGCUAAUUUCCGAUAGGUGAGGAACCCUGGAAUGGGUCUUCGCUCAAAUGGCGUUUAGACCAUGCUUCUAGACGUUGCUCAAGGAUAGGACCGCGGCCGAUCAGGUUGUUGGUGAGGUAACGGCUCACCAAGCCUUUAACCGGUGCGGGCCGUGGGAGCGGGAGCCCGGAGAUGGGAACUGAGACAAGGUCCCAGGCCCUACGGGGCGCAGCAGUCGCGCAAACUUUGCAAUAAGCGAAAGCUUGACAGGGCCAUCCCGAGUGCCGUCCGCUGAGGAUGGCUUUUCCCCAGUAUAGAUAGCUGGGGGAAUAAGGAGAGGGCAAGUCUGGUGUCAGCCGCCGCGGUAAUACCAGCUCUCCGAGUGGUGUGGAUGUUUAUUGGGCCUAAAGCAUUCGUAGCCGGCUGGGUAAGUCCUCUGUUAAAUCCAGCGAUUUAAUCGUUGGACUGCGGGGGAUACUGCCCGGCUUGGGGGCGAGAGAGGCCGACGGUACUCUCAGGGUAGGGGUGAAAUCCUAUAAUCCUGGGAAGACCACCAGUGGCGAAGGCUGUCGGCUAGAACGCGCUCGACGGUGAGGGAUGAAAGCUGGGGGAGCGAACCGGAUUAGAUACCCGGGUAGUCCCAGCUGUAAACGAUGCAGGCUAGGUGUUAGGGCGGCUACGAGCCGCCCUAGUGCCGCAGGGAAGCCAUUAAGCCUGCCGCCUGGGGAGUACGGCCGCAAGGCUGAAACUUAAAGGAAUUGGCGGGGGAGCACCACCAGGGGUGAAGCUUGCGGUUUAAUUGGAGUCAACGCCGG
RNAcentral lists this ribosomal RNA (938 nucleotides) under uncultured archaeon. RNAcentral's name for it is "bacterial SSU rRNA". It matches the Rfam family "Archaeal small subunit ribosomal RNA", at positions 8 to 921 of the family's 1478-position model. The record is from RNAcentral.